GACGAACGCUGGCGGCGUGCCUAAUACAUGCAAGUCGAACGCUGAAGAGAGGCGUUUGCUCUUCUUGCAUGAGUCGCGAACGGGUGUGUAACGCGUAGGUAACCUGCCUUGUAGCGGGGGAUAUCUAUUGGAAACGAUAGCUAAUACCGCAUAACAAUGGAUUACACAUGUCAUUUAUUUGAAAGGGGCAAUUGCUGCACUACAAGAUGGACUUGCGUUGUAUUGGCUAGUAGGUGAGGUACUGGCGCAUCUAGGCGGCGCUACCUAGACGACCUGAGAGGAGGGGCGGCCGGACUGGGAGGGAGACACGGCCCAGACUCCUACGGGAGGCGGCAGUAGGGAUUCUGCAGCAAUGGGGGCAACCCUGACCGAGAAGCGCCGAGGGAGGAAAGAAGAUUUUCGGAUCGUGAAGCUCGGUUGUAGGUCAGGAACGGGUGUGAGAGUGGAAAGUUCACUCUGUGACGGUAGCGUGCCAGAAAGGGACGGCUAACUACGUG
RNAcentral lists this ribosomal RNA (497 nucleotides) under uncultured bacterium. RNAcentral's name for it is "partial 16S ribosomal RNA". It matches the Rfam family "Bacterial small subunit ribosomal RNA", at positions 28 to 507 of the family's 1533-position model. The record is from RNAcentral.